Non-coding RNA from Coturnix japonica (Japanese quail), 2388 nucleotides. Lineage: Eukaryota; Metazoa; Chordata; Aves; Galliformes; Phasianidae. The record is from RefSeq and is a predicted model, not a curated record.
GUCUCAGACACCCUGCUGCUGGGAACACAGGGCUCCAUGUGUCCCAACGGUAGCAGGGCAAGUGCAGCAUCUCCCAGCAGCUUUCUGGCCAGCCCUGCGCCGAUUCUGCUUCAUGCAGUACACAUCUGGAGCCCCAGCCCUGGGCAGCCUUCAGUCCCUUUGGGCAGGACCAGUGCCUCUCAAUGCUGGGGGCUGGAGCCAUCCUGGGUCAGGUCCUAGAGCGUGGGUCAUCUCCCCAGAUACAGAGCGUUUGGUAGGAUCCCACAGACCCAGAGCUCAGCAGAUUGGGAUUUUUCCCCUUCGUGCUCAGUCAAACCCCAGGUGAAGAGGCAUGAAGCAGGUCCCUGGCUCUUUCUCUCCCUUCUGUGGUAUGAAAUGUCCCCAGCAGGACUGCAGGAGGGGAUGAUCUCACAUGCUCUGGGGUCACCAGGGGAGCUGCUGUCUCCUUCAGGGCAAUGUCUCUUUCCUUCUUCUUGUGCCUCACAUUCCCCAUGCUGGGCCCACUGGAGCGUGUGUGCCCCUUUCCUUUGCAAACACUUUGUGGUACUCCAGCCUGACCCAAACAUGUCCCCAGACACUUUGAGGCAGAGCAGAUGAUGCUGGAGGUAUGCAGACAGGCAGAGCUAGGACUGAAGCCCCAAAACUCCUCGCUAUCAAAUAGGAGUCACGUUCCUACAGCCCUCCAAGCACUUCUGUACAAAUUCCCCCAAAGGAAUCAGAUCGUGAGCAUGAAAAUACAUUACUGCCAAACUCAGCACAGAUGAAAUGCCUCAGAGUUUGCACAGUGGGUCUUUCAGAGCUAACAUUUACCUGGGUUUCCCAGUGGGAAAGGAGGAAGGAGCAAAAUACAUCAUCCAACAAACAUCUCUUUUUUCCUACAUAGCUUUUGGGAAGUCUCCAAGCUUUUACUUCCCUCUGGGUGAUCCAUUGCUUCUCCCUCUCCUGGGAUGCUAUGGGGAAUGCUGUGCCGAGCUGCCUGGGAUGGCAUGGCGUGUUGUCCCAGCCUCACCCUUCCUGCUGGGGCAGGGAUGCUUUGUUUGCCUUUCGUGCCUGUGUGAGCUGAACCAGCCUGUUGUUUUUUUUCCCUUGGGAUCCACCUAGAGGGAAGCGUCUCGUGGUGGGAAGCUGUUGGCAGCAUGGUACAGCCCCAGCCCUGUAUCACCAGCACGGGCCGAGCCCUACACAAACAGCCCAGCCCUCUGCUGGGGCAGGCAGGGAGUUACCCAACAGAGGGAUGGGACUGUGCCCAGCUCUGCUCCAUGGGACACAGGGAAAGCAGCAGCUGCAACAGCACUCCGGAUCGUCACUGCUGGGAAUUGUGCCAUGCCGGAGGCUGCCAUGCUGUUGGCCACCUGUUGUGCCUGGCCUUAUUUUGAUGAUUAUUUCGAGAUUUCUCCAAGCAGGGUGCAAGCAGGCAGUGUGAGCAUGGGGGAAGUAAUGGGCAGAAAGCACAGGGACUUGAAGGGGACAGCCCUCAGGGUCCCCUGUCUGUGCCACCCAGUGUCCCCAUAUGGCAAUGGUGCAAUAUGGGGCUAUGCAACUCAAGAGGCUGCAGCAACCCAAGGGCACAGCCCACAGCUCGCUGGACUUUUACCCCGCUGUGCAAACAGGCAGGCGCCUGAUUAGGGGAUCGGUUGGAAUUCCAUGCUGUCAUUGGCACCAGGAGCUUCUCUAGGGUGGUGGCAGAGCAUCUUCCCCCUGUGUGGCCCUCACCUUCCUGCAGGCACCAAAGUGCCCAACGGCACACUGCCCUUUGGGCAGGAGACCCAUCCACCCCAGUACCUUUCCCCUUAUGGCAUCAGCCCCAUUUCCAUUGGCUCUCCAGCCUGUUUUAGCAACCAGUGCUCCACUAUGCCCUGUGCCAGGCUCAGCAGGGUGCAACUCUGGGCACAGCCACUCCUGCAAGGUCACAGAGAAAGAAACAUUGCUCUGCCCCUCUCUCUGCCCCAUCCCUCCAUUGCUCCUCUUUCUCCUCUACCCAGAAGGACCUUACCCUGCACCACAUCCACCUGCCCCACCUGCACAUCCUUGUGUGUUUUGAGACUGGAGGAGCUGUUUUGGGCAGGGAUUUGAUGGCAGCCCCAAAUCUGAUGUGGCUGGGAUGGAGAUAGGCAGUGAUAAGGGAGGAUAUUCAGCUCAUCAACAGCCAUAAAAUGAGAUUAGAGGAAGGCAAGUACCAAUCAGCAGCAGCCACGUCAGUGGGCAGCUGGCCUUGUUCUUUGGCCUCCAGCACCAGCAAGGCCCAGCCUCACCCUUUCCCUGGUUGUUCCCAGGAAACCAUCCGUCCCUUGGCCAUUUCCACUGUACCCAAGGGACAGGAUGUAGUGGCCAUGCUGCCCUCAUGAGAUGGGCACACAGCACACUGCAACCAGGCUGUGGGGCUCCGGA